Molecule: ribosomal RNA, 548 nt
Filed under: uncultured bacterium
Lineage: Bacteria
Description: bacterial SSU rRNA
Rfam family: Bacterial small subunit ribosomal RNA
Source: RNAcentral
UGGGGAAUUUUGGACAAUGGGGGCAACCCUGAUCCAGCAGUGCCGCGUGUGUGAAGAAGGCCUUCGGGUUGUAAAGCACUUUUGUCCGGAAAGAAAUCCCUUGCCCUAAUACGGCGGGGGGAUGACGGUACCGGAAGAAUAAGCACCGGCUAACUACGUGCCAGCAGCCGCGGUAAUACGUAGGGUGCGAGCGUUAAUCGGAAUUACUGGGCGUAAAGCGUGCGCAGGCGGUUUUGUAAGACAGGCGUGAAAUCCCCGAGCUCAACUUGGGAAUGGCGCUUGUGACUGCAAGGCUAGAGUAUGUCAGAGGGGGGUAGAAUUCCACGUGUAGCAGUGAAAUGCGUAGAGAUGUGGAGGAAUACCGAUGGCGAAGGCAGCCCCCUGGGACGUCACUGACGCUCAUGCACGAAAGCGUGGGGAGCAAACAGGAUUAGAUACCCUGGUAGUCCACGCCCUAAACGAUGUCAACUAGUUGUUGGGGAUUCAUUUCUUCAGUAACGUAGCUAACGCGUGAAGUUGACCGCCUGGGGAGUACGGUCGCAAGAUUA